CGCGUAGGCGGCAAUUCAAGUCAUCUGUGAAAUCUCCGGGCUUAACUCGGAACGGUCAGAUGAUACUGCUUUGCUAGAGUGCAGAAGGGGCAAUCGGAAUUCUUGGUGUAGCGGUGAAAUGCGUAGAUAUCAAGAGGAACACCUGAGGUGAAGACGGGUUGCUGGGCUGACACUGACGCUGAGGCGCGAAAGCUAGGGUAGCAAACG
RNAcentral lists this ribosomal RNA (207 nucleotides) under uncultured bacterium. RNAcentral's name for it is "partial 16S ribosomal RNA". It matches the Rfam family "Bacterial small subunit ribosomal RNA", at positions 568 to 774 of the family's 1533-position model. The record is from RNAcentral.